Cyprinodon variegatus (sheepshead minnow) is the source of this 222-nucleotide long non-coding RNA. RefSeq lists it as uncharacterized. The transcript has 3 exons. The record is from RefSeq and is a predicted model, not a curated record. Lineage: Eukaryota; Metazoa; Chordata; Actinopteri; Cyprinodontiformes; Cyprinodontidae.
AGUGUGAAAUAAAAACAGAAGAUCAUAAAGUUCAUCUUUUUACCUUCAGCUCUCAUCCAUCAGACCAACACAAAACAACGACCACAUCACCAUCAGUUACAGCCGAACCAAGAGAAACAUCAGAAACAUCAGGCACAGUUUUACCUUGGAGGUCCAUCACUCUGCCUCUGGUUCUAGUGGUCAUGAUAAUACCUUCUGUUGUUUUCAUAAAGAAGAUUAAAG